This is a non-coding RNA of Fomitiporia mediterranea MF3/22, 96 nucleotides long. Lineage: Eukaryota; Fungi; Basidiomycota; Agaricomycetes; Hymenochaetales; Hymenochaetaceae. The record is from the annotation of a RefSeq genome assembly.
GGGCGAUUGGUGUAGUGGCUAUCACAUUCGCUUUGCAUAGGGCAUGAGGAAGAUAAUGCAUGCGAAAGGUCACGUGUUCGAUCCACGUAUCGUCCA